RNAcentral lists this ribosomal RNA (253 nucleotides) under uncultured bacterium. RNAcentral describes it as "partial 16S ribosomal RNA". It matches the Rfam family "Bacterial small subunit ribosomal RNA", at positions 524 to 776 of the family's 1533-position model. The record is from RNAcentral.
UACGAGUGCCCCGAGCGUUAUCCGGAAUCAUUGGGCGUAAAGGGUGUGUAGGUGGUUCUGUUAGUCUUCAGUUAAAUCCAGCUGCUUAACAGAUGGGCUGCGGAGGUUACUAUAAGACUAGGAGGCAGGAGAGGCAAGCGGUACUCAGUGGGUAGGGGUAAAAUCCGUUGAUCCAUUGAAGACCACCAGUGGCGAAGGCGGCUUGCCAGAAUGCGCUCGACGGUGAGGGAUGAAAGCUGGGGGAGCAAACCGG